RNAcentral lists this transfer RNA (69 nucleotides) under Rattus norvegicus (Norway rat). It matches the Rfam family "tRNA". From Rfam's summary of the family: Transfer RNA (tRNA) molecules are approximately 80 nucleotides in length. Their secondary structure includes four short double-helical elements and three loops (D, anti-codon, and T loops). Lineage: Eukaryota; Metazoa; Chordata; Mammalia; Rodentia; Muridae. The record is from Rfam by way of RNAcentral.
GGGGAUUUAGCUCAAUGGUAGAGCGCUUGCCUAGCAAGCGCAAGGCCCUGGGUUCGGUCCCCAGCCCCG